Molecule: transfer RNA, 60 nt
Filed under: Hyalella cajasi
Lineage: Eukaryota; Metazoa; Arthropoda; Malacostraca; Amphipoda; Hyalellidae
Description: tRNA-Leu
Source: RNAcentral
ACUGUUUAGGCGGAUUAGCGCGUUAAGUUUAGAACUUAAAACUAGGGAAACCAAAUAGUG